GGGGAUGAUCGGCCUAGACAGGCGAUUCCCUCUUGCAAGUGCUAUGCCGAGAAUGCUCGAGAUCUCGUUAAACCUCGAGUACACAAGUACGUGCUAAAAACACUCUUGCAAAAGCAAAGUCAAUCGUCUCACCAUUUUUUGGUGUAGCAGACUUUGCUCCUGCUUACGCUAUCGCCUAAGCAGCAUUCGCGCUUCAUACGCCCUCUCGGAAGUCGCGGGUGACAUAAACCGAGGGCUCAUCGCUUUGAACUUUUUCGACAAAGCGAAACAACAAAGAAAAUCGGUUGUGUAUGAUUUAGAAUACUUUCUACAUACACUGCCUAAAUCUUCAUGAAGUAUUCUACGCAUAGUAGACUCUCGCAAGAACAUCGUCUGCACGGGGGUUCAAUUCCCCCCAUCUCCACAC
This 406-nucleotide transfer-messenger RNA is filed under the name Candidatus Yonathbacteria bacterium. It matches the Rfam family "transfer-messenger RNA". Rfam says of the family: Bacterial tmRNA, also known as 10Sa RNA or SsrA, is named for its dual tRNA and mRNA-like properties. Its role is to liberate the mRNA from a stalled ribosome. Lineage: Bacteria; Candidatus Yonathiibacteriota. The record is from RNAcentral. RNAcentral also lists the same sequence under 1 other name.